UACGUAGGGUGCAAGCGUUAAUCGGAAUUACUGGGCGUAAAGCGUGCGCAGGCGGCUUUGCAAGACCGAUGUGAAAUCCCCGGGCUUAACCUGGGAACUGCAUUAGUGACUGGCAGGCUUUGAGUGUGGCAGAGGGAGGUAGAAUUCCACGUGUAGCAGUGAAAUGCGUAGAGAUGUGGAGGAAUACCGAUGGCGAAGGCAGCCUCCUGGGCCAACACUGACGCUCAUGCACGAAAGCGUGGGGAGCAAACAGG
This 254-nucleotide ribosomal RNA is filed under the name uncultured bacterium. Its description in RNAcentral is "partial 16S ribosomal RNA". It matches the Rfam family "Bacterial small subunit ribosomal RNA", at positions 524 to 776 of the family's 1533-position model. The record is from RNAcentral.